AUUGAGGCAUGAGUAUAUUUACACAAGCACAUGUAUCAUUUCCAUAGUCAAUGGCCAUCCCUUCAAGAUGUCUGUUGAGUUCAUUUAGUCCAUGACUGUGGGUUCUAUUUGUCCUAGAUGUCUUCCAGGGCAGGAGGGCUGGUGUGCUGUUGGCUGGUUGCAAACUGCAUCAGGAGUUCAUGACUGGUGUAUCUGGAGCAGUCCAUGCUCAUUGUCCAUGGUAGUUAUGGCAUACAGUGGCAGUGUCAUUCAGCAACCAAUAUCAUACAGUUCAACAUUACAGACUAUUCUCCCCCAAA
Molecule: long non-coding RNA, 299 nt
Organism: Empidonax traillii (willow flycatcher)
Lineage: Eukaryota; Metazoa; Chordata; Aves; Passeriformes; Tyrannidae
Exons: 3
Source: RefSeq, a predicted model, not a curated record